RNAcentral lists this ribosomal RNA (265 nucleotides) under uncultured bacterium. RNAcentral describes it as "partial 16S ribosomal RNA". It matches the Rfam family "Bacterial small subunit ribosomal RNA", at positions 87 to 354 of the family's 1533-position model. The record is from RNAcentral.
UCCGGCGACCGGCGCACGGGUGAGUAACACGUAUGCAACCUGCCCUCUUCAGGGGGACAACCUUCCGAAGGGAGGCUAAUCCCGCGUAUAUCGGUUUCGGGCAUCCGAGAUCGAGGAAAGAUUCAUCGGAAGAGGAUGGGCAUGCGGCGCAUUAGCUAGACGGCGGGGUAACGGCCCACCGUGGCGACGAUGCGUAGGGGUUCUGAGAGGAAGGUCCCCCACACUGGUACUGAGACACGGACCAGACUCCUACGGGAGGCAGCAG